Anneissia japonica is the source of this 387-nucleotide long non-coding RNA. RefSeq lists it as uncharacterized. Lineage: Eukaryota; Metazoa; Echinodermata; Crinoidea; Comatulida; Comatulidae. The record is from RefSeq and is a predicted model, not a curated record. The transcript is spliced from 3 exons.
AUGCGGUACGGUAAAAGUGUAGGGGAUUAUCUUCAGGUGUAGUAAGCCCAAUCACCACCAUCAGGACCCUAUUGAAAAUAAGUCUUUAGACUUUUCUAUGUUACCGUUGGUGUUCAAACCAAUUAAAUCCAAUCUAAUCGCUAUGACCUGUCCCAGACUGAAGGCUUGGUAGUGUGCAUUAUUAAAAUAUCCUGGUACAUGAUGAUAUAAUGCUGUCCUACUUAAAGGAAAGAUGAGAAAAAAUACUUGAUUAUUAUUCCUUCAUUUGGGAUAAUAUGGGAAUGCCUUAGCAAAUGACAACAGUAUUUCAGAGCAGUUGACCCCGGUGAAUACAGGUUGCUGUGGUGAAACAAAGACUCUGCAAAUGUGUGAAUCACAGAAUAAACA